RNAcentral lists this ribosomal RNA (479 nucleotides) under uncultured bacterium. RNAcentral describes it as "partial 16S ribosomal RNA". It matches the Rfam family "Bacterial small subunit ribosomal RNA", at positions 28 to 507 of the family's 1533-position model. The record is from RNAcentral.
GAUGAACGCUAGCGGGAGGCCUAACACAUGCAAGCCGAGCGGUAUUGUUUCUUCGGAAAUGAGAGAGCGGCGUACGGGUGCGUAACACGUGUGCAACCUGCCUUUAUCUGGGGGAUAGCCUUUCGAAAGGAAGAUUAAUACUCCAUAAUAUAUUGAACGGCAUCGUUUAAUAUUGAAAGCUCCGGCGGAUAGGGAUGGGCACGCGCAAGAUUAGCUAGUUGGUGAGGUAACGGCUCACCAAGGCGAUGAUCUUUAGGGGGCCUGAGAGGGUGAUCCCCCACACUGGUACUGAGACACGGACCAGACUCCUACGGGAGGCAGCAGUGAGGAAUAUUGGUCAAUGGGUGCAAGCCUGAACCAGCCAUCCCGCGUGAAGGACGACUGCCCUAUGGGUUGUAAACUUCUUUUGUAUAGGGAUAAACCUACCCUCGUGAGGGUAGCUGAAGGUACUAUACGAAUAAGCACCGGCUAACUCCGUG